AAAUGGAUAUUCUCGUUCACUUUCGUGACAUUUAUAUUCGUGUACUAUUGUGUACUAGAAGUCAGUUCCCGUUUUAUCAUUAUUGGAAUCGAUUGGAAUGGCUCUUAGCUGAAGCUUCUCUCUUCUCUGAAGCUUAUUCUGAAGACUGAACAACAAGGGAAGAGGUAUAAAGCUUUGUCAAGCUUGUUAAGGUCAGAUAUUUUUGUGUGGGCCCUAUGGCCGGCUAUGCUAUCAAGUCUUGUUCAUGUUUGGCAAGAAUGUAGGUAGACUAUAGUUUCAUCAUUAAUAUGGUGGAUCAAGUGAAGAGUGUGAGCUAGAGAACUUGGUGCUGCCAUCAUCAGCUCGUCGACAAUGACACUAUAACCGAGAAAUUUAAUAUGUAUAGAUCUACACGUAUUUAAAAUGUCUACUUCUCUGUACAGGAGCAAUGGCUAAUAUCCAGCUAUCCCAACAGUGCUCCUCUUGGCUAUACUAACGGACGAGACUGGACAGUUUGAGACACAGGACUGGAGUAUGACCUGCUCAUUCGAGCGUUGCUGGGUAGCUCAGAGACAUCAAGAGAAUCUACGUUUUCUCAAGCAAUGAGUUACGAGUUGGGGCCUAGAAUCAGAGAAGUCCAGCAGCCUGCUAAAUCUUUUUGAAACGUAAUUUGAAGGCAUUCAAUCAUCCUGAAGUUGCCCUGGGUCACUGUAAUUGUGCUGCAGCACAACUGGCAACUCCCCAGGCCUUUGUGAAGCAGCUCCCUAUGUGCAUCUUUUGUGUACUCACUCUGUGCAUUUUCUGUGUACAAAUUUCUAUUAUUGAUUUAUUAAAUAUUUUUGCCGACCACAAA
This is a long non-coding RNA of Halichondria panicea, 832 nucleotides long. RefSeq lists it as uncharacterized. The transcript is spliced from 2 exons. NCBI's taxonomy places the organism in Eukaryota, Metazoa, Porifera, Demospongiae, Suberitida, Halichondriidae. The record is from RefSeq and is a predicted model, not a curated record.